AUGAUAGAUCUGAAGAAGGUGAUGACCCGGAACAUGGAGCUAGAAGAGGAACUCAAGACUACAUGCGAUGGAUACGAGGAGGAAAUCGCAAUACUAGUGAAGAAGAAUGACGACCUGACGAGGAAGCUAGGCGUAUUCAUGGGAGACCCCGCGCCAGGAGGAGAUGACCACCAUCCUGAUGACAUUCAUUCUGAAGACUACAUCAUCAUCGACGACACCGACUCCGACCCCGACAGUAGUGAUGAUGACUAUGAAGACGAAGCUGGAGCGGAUAUCAUGGAGUCUUCCACCGAUCAAAAUUUCUAG
Molecule: ribosomal RNA, 306 nt
Filed under: Triticum aestivum (bread wheat)
Lineage: Eukaryota; Viridiplantae; Streptophyta; Magnoliopsida; Poales; Poaceae
Description: partial small subunit ribosomal RNA
Source: RNAcentral